Molecule: ribosomal RNA, 494 nt
Filed under: uncultured bacterium
Lineage: Bacteria
Description: partial 16S ribosomal RNA
Rfam family: Bacterial small subunit ribosomal RNA
Source: RNAcentral
GACGAACGCUGGCGGCGUGCUUAACACAUGCAAGUCGAACGGUGAAGCGCCUUCCUUUUUGGUGGGUGUGGAUGAGUGGCGAACGGGUGAGUAACACGUGAGUAACCUGCCCCCUUCUUCUGGAUAACCGCAUGAAAGUGUGGCUAAUACGGGAUAUUCUGGGUCUGUCGCAUGAUGGGUCUGGGAAAGAUAUUGUUUCGGUGGGGGAUGGGCUCGCGGCCUAUCAGCUUGUUGGUGGGGUGAUGGCCUACCAAGGCGGUGACGGGUAGCCGGCCUGAGAGGGUGCACGGUCACACUGGGACUGAGACACGGCCCAGACUCCUACGGGAGGCAGCAGUGGGGAAUAUUGCACAAUGGGCGCAAGCCUGAUGCAGCGACGCCGCGUGAGGGAUGGAGGCCUUCGGGUUGUGAACCUCUUUCGCCAGUGAAGCAGGCCUGCCUCGUUUGUGGGUGGGUUGACGGUAGCUGGAUAAGAAGCGCCGGCUAACUACGUG